This 31-nucleotide non-coding RNA is filed under the name Homo sapiens (human). Lineage: Eukaryota; Metazoa; Chordata; Mammalia; Primates; Hominidae. The record is from RNAcentral.
UAAAUGCCUAGACACCUGGCAGCAAGAGGUC